AUUGAACGCUGGCGGCAGGCCUAACACAUGCAAGUCGAGCGGAUGAAGGGAGCUUGCUCCUGGAUUCAGCGGCGGACGGGUGAGUAAUGCCUAGGAAUCUGCCUGGUAGUGGGGGAUAACGUCCGGAAACGGGCGCUAAUACCGCAUACGUCCUGAGGGAGAAAGUGGGGGAUCUUCGGACCUCACGCUAUCAGAUGAGCCUAGGUCGGAUUAGCUAGUUGGUGGGGUAAAGGCCUACCAAGGCGACGAUCCGUAACUGGUCUGAGAGGAUGAUCAGACACACUGGAACUGAGACACGGUCCAGACUCCUACGGGAGGCCGCAGUGGGGAAUAUUGGACGAUGGGCGAAAGCCUGAUCCAGCCAUGCCGCGUGUGUGAAGAAGGUCUUCGGAUUGUAAAGCACUUUAAGUUGGGAGGAAGGGCAGUAAGUUAAUACCUUGCUGUUUUGACGUUACCAACAGAAUAAGCACCGGCUAACUUCGUG
This 484-nucleotide ribosomal RNA is filed under the name uncultured bacterium. Its description in RNAcentral is "partial 16S ribosomal RNA". It matches the Rfam family "Bacterial small subunit ribosomal RNA", at positions 30 to 507 of the family's 1533-position model. The record is from RNAcentral.